GCGGUGAAUGCUUUGGGGUGGGGUGACUGCGUACCUUUUGUAUAAUGGGUCAGCGACUUAUAUUCUGUAGCAAGGUUAACCGAAUAGGGGAGCCGGAGGGAAACCGAGUCUUAAUUGGGCGUUAAGUUGCAGGGUAUAGACCCGAAACCCGGUGAUCUAGCCAUGGGCAGGUUGAAGGUUGGGUAACACUAACUGGAGGACCGAACCGACUAAUGUUGAAAAAUUAGCGGAUGACCUGUGGCUGGGGGUGAAAGGCCAAUCAAACCGGGAGAUAGCUGGUUCUCCCCGAAAGCUAUUUAGGUAGCGCCUCGUGAAUUCAUCUCCGGGGGUAGAGCACUGUUUCGGCUAGGGGGCCAUCCCGGCUUACCAACCCGAUGCAAACUGCGAAUACCGGAGAAUGUUAUCACGGGAGACACACGGCGGGUGCUAACGUCCGUCGUGAAGAGGGAAACAACCCAGACCGCCAGCUAAGGUCCCAAAGUCAUGGUUAAGUGGGAAACGAUGUGGGAAGGCCCAGACAGCCAGGAUGUUGGCUUAGAAGCAGCCAUCAUUUAAAGAAAGCGUAAUAGCUCACUGGUCGAGUCGGCCUGCGCGGAAGAUGUAACGGGGCUAAACCAUGCACCGAAGCUGCGGCAGCGAACGUAUCACCCAAGACAACUUUACGGAGUUGACGAUUGACGGAGCGAAGCGACGUCAAAGCGUUCAUUAAAGUCGAGUUGGCUUAGGGAUACGUUCGUUGGGUAGGGGAGCGUUCUGUAAGCCUGUGAAGGUGUGUCGUGAGGC
This 783-nucleotide ribosomal RNA is filed under the name Salmonella enterica subsp. enterica serovar Typhimurium. RNAcentral's name for it is "partial 23S ribosomal RNA". It matches the Rfam family "Bacterial large subunit ribosomal RNA", at positions 570 to 1269 of the family's 2925-position model. The record is from RNAcentral. Lineage: Bacteria; Pseudomonadati; Pseudomonadota; Gammaproteobacteria; Enterobacterales; Enterobacteriaceae.